Non-coding RNA from Rattus norvegicus (Norway rat), 402 nucleotides. NCBI's taxonomy places the organism in Eukaryota, Metazoa, Chordata, Mammalia, Rodentia, Muridae. The record is from RefSeq and is a predicted model, not a curated record.
GGGCAUUGUGUGGAGGGUAUGACACAGCCUUCGGAUGUCCCCAGGAGGAUGCUGGGUAACUGGCAUCACUACAAAGUUGAUCAUGAAGGUCAGCCAGCCUGUCACCGGUUCACCCAAGGUCUACCAAGUAGUAAUACAUAUACUAAUGUCUACUAGAGGAGAAAGCAGAAAGCUACUACGAAGAUCAGCGAUCCAUCAUUCCCACCAGAUGACGUAGAUCAGUAUCUUUCUCAGCCAUCAUCAGAGAAGCUUCCUCCUACAACACAUAAGAACAAAUGCAGAGACCACAGCUGAAAAUCUACAGAGAAUGGGAGUCCUUGGAACAUUCACCCCUAAAUUGGAUGUGUCCAUCAAACACUUCUCUGUGGGUUCCUAUGUGCAUGAAUCCUGAUGAUUUAGAGG